UAAAAAAGGACCUGGGACUCUCUUUGUGCCUUGAGGCUACGAAAAAAACUAAUACCAACAGAUUGGUAGAAGGUUUUCCGAGUGGCCAUUUGGUCAGCCGGCU
This is a non-coding RNA of Caenorhabditis elegans, 103 nucleotides long. Lineage: Eukaryota; Metazoa; Nematoda; Chromadorea; Rhabditida; Rhabditidae. The record is from Ensembl.